UACGUAGGGUGCGAGCGUUGUCCGGAAUUAUUGGGCGUAAAGCGCGCGUAGGCGGCCCGGUAAGUCCGCUGUAAAAGUCAAAGGCUCAACCUUUGAAUGUCAGUGGAUACUGCCGGGCUAGAGUCCGGAAGAGGCGAGUGGAACUCCUGGUGUAGCGGUGGAAUGCGCAGAUAUCAGGAAGAACACCAACGGCGAAGGCAGCUCGCUGGGACGGUACUGACGCUGAGACGCGAAAGCGUGGGGAGCGAACAGG
Molecule: ribosomal RNA, 253 nt
Filed under: uncultured bacterium
Lineage: Bacteria
Description: partial 16S ribosomal RNA
Rfam family: Bacterial small subunit ribosomal RNA
Source: RNAcentral